AAGUCGUAACAAGGUUUCCGUAGGUGAACCUGCGGAAGGAUCAUUAAAAAUGAAGCCGGGAAACCGGUCCUUCUCACCCUUGAUUAUCUCAAUUUGUUGCUUUGGCGGGCCGCGCAAGCACCGGCUUCGGCUGGAUCGUGCCCGCCAGAGGACCACAACUCUGUAUUAUAUGUCGUCUGAGUACUAUAAAAUAGUUAAAACUUUCAACAACGGAUCUCUUGGUUCUGGC
This 229-nucleotide unclassified non-coding RNA is filed under the name fungal sp. Its description in RNAcentral is "partial internal transcribed spacer region". The stretch from base 1 to 46 matches the Rfam family "Eukaryotic small subunit ribosomal RNA", at positions 1786 to 1831 of the family's 1831-position model. The record is from RNAcentral. Lineage: Eukaryota; Fungi.